This 253-nucleotide ribosomal RNA is filed under the name uncultured bacterium. Its description in RNAcentral is "partial 16S ribosomal RNA". It matches the Rfam family "Bacterial small subunit ribosomal RNA", at positions 524 to 776 of the family's 1533-position model. The record is from RNAcentral.
UACGUAGGUGACAAGCGUUGUCCGGAUUUACUGGGCGUAAAGAGCGCGCAGGCGGUCGGUCAAGUCGAGUGUGAAAGCCCCCGGCUCAACUGGGGAGGGUCAUUCGAUACUGAUCGACUCGAAGGCAGGAGAGGGUAGUGGAAUUCCCGGUGUAGUGGUGAAAUGCGUAGAUAUCGGGAGGAACACCAGUGGCGAAGGCGGCUCACUGGUCCGGUACUGACGCUGAGGUGCGAAAGCGUGGGGAGCAAACAGG